AGAUGGGGACAGGAGCUGGUGAGAGAUGGUUCAUUUGUGGACACUGCUGAAGGAAGAGGCAAAGCAAUGUGUCUGGAAAUGAGGUAGAGUGAAGAAAGGCCCAACUGAAGACACUUUCCUGCCUUGCUUUGCAGAUUUGGAGGAAAACAGAAUGAAUCCUACACAUGUGUACAAACCCGCAAAUGAGGGGAAAGCACAGGGAGCUUGUGUCAAAUUCUCCAGCAAAGAUGUGCACAGUUAGAAUUGAAAAGCAACGGGAUAAACAAGGAAAGUGCAAAGAGGAUCAUGUGUUGUUCUUGUGUAUAAAAGAUUCCUUGAAGCAUCUUGGAUUAAGUCGUGCGCAAGAUGGCUGAAUAGGAACAGCUCCGGUCUGCAGCUCCCAGCAAGAUCAACACAGAAGACAAACUAAGCUUCACAAGCAAAGGAGCAAUAAAAUCCUUUACAGACAAGCAAAUGCUGAGAGAUUUUGUCAUCACCAGGCCUGCCUUACAAGAGCUCCUGAAGGAAGUACUAAAUAUGGACAGGAAAAACGGGUUUCAGACACUGCAAAAACAUACCAAAUUGUAAAGACCAUCGACACUGUGAAGAAACUACAUCAACUAAUGGGCAAAAUAACCAGCUAGCAUCAUAAUGACAGGAUUAAAUUCACACACAACAAUAUUAACCUUAAAUGUAAAUGGGCUAAAUGCUGCAACUAAAAGACACAGACUGGCAAAUUAGAUAAAGAGUAAAGACUCAUUGAUGUGCUGUAUUCAGGAGAUCCAUCUCACGUGCAAAGACACAUACAGGCUCAAAACAAAGGAAUGGGGGAAUAUUUACCAAGUAAAUGGAAAGCAAAAAAAAAAGCAGGGUUGCAAUCCUAGUCUCUGAUAAGACAGACUUUAAACCAAUAAAAAUCAAAAAAGACAAAGAAGGGCAUUACAUAAUGGUAAAGGGAUCAAUGCAACAAGAAAAGCUAACAAUUCUAAAUAUGUAUGCACCCAAUAUAAGAGCACCCAGAUUCAUAAAGCAAGUUCUUAGAGACCUACAAACAGACUUAGACUCUCACACAAUAAUAGUGGGAGACUUUAACACCCACUGUUAAUAUUAGACAGACCAAAAUGAGACAGAAAAUUAAUAAGGGUAUUCAGGACUUGAACUCAUCUCUUGACCAAGCGGACCUAAUAAACAUCUACACAACUCUCCACCCUGAAUCAAUAGAUGUACAUUCUUCUCAGCACCACAUUGCACUUAUUCUAAAAGUGAUCACAUAAUUGGAAGUAAAACACUCCUUAACAAAUGCAAAAGAAUGGAAAUCAUAACAAACAGUCUAUCAGACCACAGUGCAAUCAAAUUAGAACUCAGGAUUAAGAAACUUACUCAAAACCUCACAACUACAUGGAAACUGAACAACCUGCUCCUGAAUGACUACUGAGUAAAUAAUGAAAUUAAGGCAGAAAUAAAUAAGUUCUUUGAAACCAACGAGAACAAAGACAUAACAUACCAGAAUCUCUGGGACACAGCUAACCCAGAGUUUAGAGGGAAAUUUAUAGCACUAAAUGCCCACAGAAGGAAGCGGGAAAGAUCUAAAAUUGACACCCUAACAUUGCAAUUAAAAGUAUUAGAGACGCAAGAGCAAACAAAUUCAAAAGCUAGCAGAAGACAAGAAAUAACUGAGAUCCAAGUAGAACUGAAGGAGAUAGAGACAUGAAAAACCCUUCAAAAAAUCAAUGAAUCCAGGAAGUGGUUUAUUGAAAAGAUUAACAAAAUAGAUAGACCGCUAGACAGACUAAUAAAGAAGAAAAGAGAGAAGAAUCAAUUAGACAUGAAAAGUGAUAAAGGGGAUAUCACCACUGAUCCCACAGAAGUACAAAAUGCCCUCAGAGAAUACUAUAAACACCUCUACACAAAUAAACUAGAAAAUCCAGAAGAAAUGGAUAAAUUCCUGGAAACAUACACCCUCCCAAGUCGAAACCAGAAAGAAGUUGAAUGCCUGAAUAGACCAAUAACAAGUUCCGAAAUUGUGGCAGUAAUUAACAGCCUUCCAACCAAAGAAAACCCAGGACCAGACGGAUUCACAGCUGAAUUCUACCAGAGGUACAAAGAGAAGCUGGUACCAUUCCUUCUGAAACUAUUCCAAACAAUAGAAAAAGAGGCACUGCUCCCUAACUCAUUUUAUGAGGCCAGCAUCAUCCUGUGACCAAACUCUGGCAGAGACACAAUAAAAAAAGAAAAUUUCAGGCCAAUAUCCCUGAUUAACAUCAAUGCGAAAAUCCUCAAUAAAAUACUGGCAAACUGAAUCCAGCAACAUAUAAAAAGUUAUCCACCAUAAUCAAGUCGGUUUCAUCCUUCGGAUGCAAGGCUUACUCAACAUAUGCAAAACAAUAAGCAUAAUCCAUCACAUAAACAGAACCAAUGACAAAAACUACAUGAUUAUCUCAAUAUAUGCAGAAAAGUCCUUCAAUAAAAUUCAACACCCCUUCAUGCUAAAAAAUCACAAUAAAUUAGGUAUUGAUGAAAUGUAUCUCAAAAUAAUAAGAGCGAUUUAUGACAAACCCACAGCCAAUAUCAUACUGAACGGGCAAAAGCUGGAAGCAUUCCCUUUGAAAAUUGGCACAAGACAAGGAUGAUCUCUCUCACCAAUCCUAUUCAACAUGGUAUUGAAAGUUCUGGCCAAGGCAAUCAGGCAAGAGAAAGAAAUAAAGAGUAUUCAAAUAGGAAGAGAGGAAGUCAAAUUGUCUCUGUUUGCAGAUGACAUGAUUGUGUAUUUAGAAAACCCCACUGUCUCAGCCCAAAAUUUCCUUAAGCUGAUAAGCAACUUCAGCAAAG
Molecule: long non-coding RNA, 2808 nt
Organism: Homo sapiens (human)
Lineage: Eukaryota; Metazoa; Chordata; Mammalia; Primates; Hominidae
Source: Ensembl